Molecule: non-coding RNA, 60 nt
Organism: Myotis davidii
Lineage: Eukaryota; Metazoa; Chordata; Mammalia; Chiroptera; Vespertilionidae
Source: Rfam
GUGGCUCAGUGGAUAGAGCGUCGGCCUGCGGACCGAAGGGUCCCAGGUUCGAUUCCUGGC